Long non-coding RNA from Pseudophryne corroboree (corroboree frog), 3648 nucleotides. RefSeq lists it as uncharacterized. The transcript is spliced from 13 exons. Lineage: Eukaryota; Metazoa; Chordata; Amphibia; Anura; Myobatrachidae. The record is from RefSeq and is a predicted model, not a curated record.
GUUUUUUCUGUGUUUGUAAGGUCUCCCGGCAACGGCUUACGGGAAUCCGGUGCAGUCACGGCACCCGUCGCACUUGUGGUGACGUCAUAGACCCCAGCCGCAGCCCCGGGACCACGAGUUCGUCUUGUGAGGGUUAUUCACUCUAUAAAGGUCUCCCGGCAACGGCUUACGGGAAUCCGGUGCAGUCACGGCACCCGUCGCACUUGUGGUGACGUCAUAGACCCCAGCCGCAGCCCCGGGACCACGAGUUCGUCUUGUGAGGGUUAUUCACUCUAUAAAGGUCUCCCGGCAACGGCUUACGGGAAUCCGGUGCAGUCACGGCACCCGUCGCACUUGUGGUGACGUCAUAGACCCCAGCCGCAGCCCCGGGACCACGAGUUCGUCUUGUGAGGGUUAUUCACUCUAUAAAGGUCUCCCGGCAACGGCUUACGGGAAUCCGGUGCAGUCACGGCACCCGUCGCACUUGUGGUGACGUCAUAGACCCCAGCCGCAGCCCCGGGACCACGAGUUCGUCUUGUGAGGGUUAUUCACUCUAUAAAGGUCUCCCGGCAACGGCUUACGGGAAUCCGGUGCAGUCACGGCACCCGUCGCACUUGUGGUGACGUCAUAGACCCCAGCCGCAGCCCCGGGACCACGAGUUCGUCUUGUGAGGGUUAUUCACUCUAUAAAGGGCUGCUGGUGGGAUCCGGAACCGAAAGAAAUCGAGAUACCUUCGGAGACCACACCAGGUUGCACCCCAUGUUAAACUUCCCUCAGGAUUACAAGCAAGAAACUGAGCCCAGCAUGAUGUCGGCACCUUUUCCAGCAGCCAUCAUACGAGACACCCAGGUGGGCACGGCCCAAUCGGUAAAGACAGUAGUAAAGCCCCCUAAUGGAGGGUCAGGUGAGGUCGUGUCCACAGGUAAGUACGGUAUUGUAUAUUAUGCACAUACAAUUGCACCUCACAUUGUAGAGUCAACACAAGAUGAUGUAGUUGAACUCAAUUCUGUCAGGGUGAUUGUAGUCCCAAAUGGACAGACUGACACUCUGGGAGUCACUCACGUCAGGGGCAUUGCCCCUGGUCCCAGACAGAAUUAAGUACAAUUAUGUCUGAAUUUCCUGAUCCCAGGAAAGAUCUAGCCGCAUGCCAAAGGUUCAUUAAAAAAUUAGGUAACUCCGCAUAACCCAAUAACAAACAUUGGCGGACAUUGCUGAGGGUAUAUCUACCCUCCAAUAUUGACCCUGCGAAAUUUAUUACUGAUUGUAAAUUAGACGCAGACGUACCUCUCACUGAGGAAUACACUCAGGAGAAUGUACGACAAAUCAAUCUGCAAUUAGGAGUAUAUUUCCCAACUGUUGUCAAGUGGAACAAAAUUUUCUCCAUUAGCCAAAAAGAAGGUGAAAUGGCAGCGGAAUAUUUCCAUCGAGCACUGCAGGAAAUAUCUACAUACACUGGGAUCACGGACAUUGAGGAUAAAGUACAUUAUAGGGAGGUAGCUGUGUCCGUAUUAAUGGAUGGCUUAAAAGACACACUAAGAAUCAGGGUACAAACCUCUCUACCUAACUGGAGAGGUAUCUCGGUGGCUGCAUUAAGAGAGUCCGCUAUCGAGCAUGACCGUAAUAUCCAAAGAACCAGGGAAGCACGGGGAGAGCGGUUGAUGGUGAUGAACAUCCAAGCACUAGAAGAGGCAUCAAAUCGACCAAAACCCCAGGCCACUGGCACAUGGAGGAAGCCAAGGGUUUGUUAUCUUUGUAAAAGGGAAGGGCAUUAUGCCAGCAACUGUAACAGCACACAUAAAGUCAGACCCCCUAGACAAGAACACGAGCAAAGUUAUGACGCACGUAAUUGUAAUCAGGGAUCAUAUAGGAAGAAUUUUGGGAAGCACCUGUAAUUUGCAGCCAGUGAAGUUGAUCAUUAGCCUUGAUAGUAAGCCUGAGGUUACAGUCAAUGUAAUUGGGAGGUCAAUUCCUUGUAGACACAGGGACGGCCGGGUAAACUUUGUAAUUUAUCUUUAAAUGUUUCCUUCUCAUCGCUAACGUUCACCAGCAGAACACAAACGUCACAUGACUACUUGGUCUUUUCAGAGGUCUACCCAACCCCAGUAUAUCUUACCAGCAUCGUUGUGUUUGGCCAGGCACAAAGGGUGGAGAGUGGAAAUACUGGUGGGGGAGAAAGUGCAGAGAUACCUAUGGACAUAUUGGUGUAAAAAGCCUAAUGGUGAACGGAAAUCCGACAAUGUUUUUUUUUCCUAAUUGUUCUCUCUCUUUUUGUUCUUUCAUGUUUUAUGGAUGGUAUGUCACACAAAAGUUAGAUAAAUGGUAAUGCAAGAUUUAUGCUCCUUACAGAAAGAUCACUGAUUUGGAAAGAAUAUUGUAUCACCGGAGUGUUCGUUGUGGGAAGACUGAGAGACAGCACCUUUGAGAUGACAACUGAGCAAGAAGAACAAAAAGACUAGAGGACAAAUUAUCGUAACAAGUUUUUUUCCCCUUCAAUUAAUUUCUGUACCCCCAUUACAACUUUCUCUUUCUCCUCUUGUAAGAUGGACUCGCACCAAGAGACUGCAGUCCGUGUUUUCCUGUUGACCCUGUUGUUGACCAGAGCAGUCUGUUUCGGUGAGAGUACCAGUGAGGUCGAGAAAGGAUCUGGAAAGGGUUCUGAUGAUCAGGAUGGAGUAGUAGAAUUCCAAGAGCAACACAAUCACCGAGUAAAGGCGAUGCGGGUUAUCCCAACAAAUCGUGGCUCUUGACCCCAUUGUCAAAUCCUGUUGGUAGAGCAGAAAAACGUUACCAAGAGACACACAAAGCAUCGAGGCAAAUAAUUGAACGUGCCUUCGGGGUACUUAAAAGCCGGUUUAGAUGUUUAGACACUUCCGGCGGUGCUCUUUUGUAUUCACUGGGAAAGGUUUGCGGCAUGGUAAAUGCAUGUUGUAUUUUACACAACAUAUGUGUCGCAAACUGUUUGCCGGUGACUCUUCGUCACAGUGCUUUCUGACGCGGGAACCGUUCUUCUGCUCUACCGGUGGGUAUGGACGAAGGAGAUGAUUCCCGACGGACAUUGGUACAAAACUUUUUUUCCGUUGCCUAGUUUUACGUCCUGUUGACGCACCUUCCCAGGCCUGUUUUCAAAGUUUUGUCCUGUUGACGACCUGUUACCCCCUGUUUUCUCCUGUUGUUGGGUUGCCGCAAAUAUUGGACCCAUUUAUCUAACUCCACCAUGGGCGACCUGACCCUCCGCCAUGUAGCAGACAACCCCCCUCAGGUCUUGCGGAGUAUCCUUCCCAAGUUGCGUGGAUGUGAAGAGACACGACAUUUCUCCUGAUGUACCAUAGGCGAGCUACUUGUGAUGUGGACCUGAAUCUCCGCCAUGUAGCUGACAACCCCACUCAGGUCUUGCGGAGUAUCCUUCCCAAGUGGUGUGGAUGUGAAGGGACACAACAUUUCUCCUGAUGUACCAUGGGCGACCUACUUGUGAUGUGGACCUGAACCUCCGCCAUGUAGCUGACAACCCCCCUCAGGUCUUGCGGAGUAUCCUUCCCAAGUUGCGUGGAUGUGAAGGGACACCACAGUUCCCCUGAUGUACCAUGGGUGACCUAACAAUUCCACUGCAUCUCAUAUUUAACAUUGUAUUUGCUAAUAAUUUAAAUAAAAACCACAGAAAACUUCUCAAUG